Molecule: transfer-messenger RNA, 390 nt
Filed under: Gammaproteobacteria bacterium
Lineage: Bacteria; Pseudomonadati; Pseudomonadota; Gammaproteobacteria
Rfam family: transfer-messenger RNA
About the family: Bacterial tmRNA, also known as 10Sa RNA or SsrA, is named for its dual tRNA and mRNA-like properties. Its role is to liberate the mRNA from a stalled ribosome.
Source: RNAcentral
GGGGGCGACCUGGCUUCGACGUGGGUUGCGAAACCUGAGGUGCAUGCCGAGGUGCAGAAUACCUCGUUAAUCCAUCUGCAAACUUAUAGUUGCCAACGACGACAACUACGCACUCGCAGCUUAAACCCCUGUAGGGUGCCGUCUGACUGGAGCCGUGCAUGUGCGUCCAGGUUCUUUAUGCCCUUUGGGUAUUCGGAACACUCAGGCGUCGACUCUCACAUGAUCGCGUUGAAGCUCGUUCGGGGUGGAUACGCUAAAACUUACCGAACUCGCUGUUUGUUUUCCCUGCCCGUCGGGUAGCAAGCAGUUAAACUAAUAGACCGGGAUAAGCAUGUAGAGCCGAUGGCAGAGGACUUGCGGACGCGGGUUCGAUUCCCGCCGCCUCCACCA